GGUUGAUGUACGCUUAACUGGUAAAGUGGUGCUAGCCUUCGGGCGAAGGACUUUUGCAGGUUCGACCCCUGCCAUCAACCG
RNAcentral lists this transfer RNA (81 nucleotides) under Salmonella enterica. Its description in RNAcentral is "tRNA-OTHER". It matches the Rfam family "tRNA". Rfam says of the family: Transfer RNA (tRNA) molecules are approximately 80 nucleotides in length. Their secondary structure includes four short double-helical elements and three loops (D, anti-codon, and T loops). Lineage: Bacteria; Pseudomonadati; Pseudomonadota; Gammaproteobacteria; Enterobacterales; Enterobacteriaceae. RNAcentral also lists the same sequence under 3 other names. The record is from RNAcentral.